ACAAAGUGAAACUGCGAAUGGCUCAUUAUAUAAGUUAUCGUUUAUUUGAUAUUGCCUAUCCUACAUGGAUAACAGUGGUAAUUCUAGAGCUAAUACAUGCUGAAAAUCCCGACUUCGGAAGGGACGUAUUUAUUAGAAUCAGAACCAAUGCCCUUCGGGGUUUUCUGGUGACUCAUGAUAACUCCACAGAUCGCAUGGCCUUGCGCCGGCGAUGGCUCAUUCAAAUUUCUUCCCUAUCAACUUUCGACGGUACGGUCUUGGCCUACCGUGGUUGUAACGGGUGACGGAGGGUUAGGGCUCGACCCCGGAGAAGGAGCCUGAGAAACGGCUACUACAUCCAAGGAAGGCAGCAGGCGCGCAAAUUAUCCAAUCCCGACUCGGGGAGAUAGUGACAAUAAAUACCGAUACAGGGCUCUUUUGGGCCCUGUAAUUGGAAUGAGUACAAUUUAAACCUCUUAACGAGGAACAAUUGGAGGGCAAGUCUGGUGCCAGCAGCCGCGGUAAUUCCAGCUCCAAUAGCGUAUAUUAAAGUUGUUGUGGUUAAAAAGCUCGUAGUCGAACCUCGAGCCUGGCCGGCCGGUCCGCCUCACCGCGUGCACUGGUCUGGCCGGGCUCUUCCCUCUGCGGAACCGCAUGUCCUUCACUGGGCGUGUCGGGGAGGCAGGACUUUUACUUUGAAAAAAUUAGAGUGCUCAAGGCAGGCCAAUGCUCGAAUACAUUAGCAUGGAAUAAUAGAAUAGGACGUUGGUUCUAUUUUGUUGGUUUCUAGGACCGCCGUAAUGAUCAAUAGGGACGGUCGGGGGCAUCAGUAUUCAGCCGUCAGAGGUGAAAUUCUUGGACCGGCUGAAGACUA
This 853-nucleotide ribosomal RNA is filed under the name Pleurotheciella sp. NGL-2020a. Its description in RNAcentral is "SSU rRNA". It matches the Rfam family "Eukaryotic small subunit ribosomal RNA", at positions 76 to 938 of the family's 1831-position model. Lineage: Eukaryota; Fungi; Ascomycota; Sordariomycetes; Pleurotheciales; Pleurotheciaceae. The record is from RNAcentral.